This 254-nucleotide ribosomal RNA is filed under the name uncultured bacterium. RNAcentral describes it as "partial 16S ribosomal RNA". It matches the Rfam family "Bacterial small subunit ribosomal RNA", at positions 524 to 776 of the family's 1533-position model. The record is from RNAcentral.
UACGGGGGGAGCAAGCGUUGUUCGGAUUUACUGGGCGUAAAGGGCGCGUAGGCGGCCACCGCAAGUCGAUUGUGAAAUCUCCGGGCUUAACCCGGAAAGGUCAACCGAUACUGCGGGGCUAGAGUGCAGAAGGGGCAACUGGAAUUCUCGGUGUAGUGGUGAAAUGCGUAGAGAUCGGGAGGAACACCUGUGGCGAAGGCGGCCCCCUGGGCCGGCCCUGACACUGAGACGCGAAGGCGUGGGGAGCGAACGGG